This 83-nucleotide small RNA is filed under the name Rhodococcus jostii RHA1. RNAcentral describes it as "Actinobacteria sRNA Ms_AS-4". It matches the Rfam family "Actinobacteria sRNA Ms_AS-4". Lineage: Bacteria; Bacillati; Actinomycetota; Actinomycetes; Mycobacteriales; Nocardiaceae. The record is from Rfam by way of RNAcentral.
CUUGGCGGUGGUGUAGCGAUCGGGGACGUCCGAAGAACUCACCGAGCACCCGGGCGCCAAGGAUGACACCAAGUCCUGGCAGG